Non-coding RNA from Bos taurus (domestic cattle), 71 nucleotides. NCBI's taxonomy places the organism in Eukaryota, Metazoa, Chordata, Mammalia, Artiodactyla, Bovidae. The record is from Rfam.
UUGCAGGCAGCUCAGUGGUAAAGCAUCUGCCUGCCAAGCAGGAGACAUGGGUUUGAUCCCUGGCUUGGGAA